UGAGGAAUAUUGGUCAAUGGGCGGAAGCCUGAACCAGCCAAGUAGCGUGAAGGAUGACUGCCCUAUGGGUUGUAAACUUCUUUUAUAAGGGAAUAAUUGCGGGUACGCGUACCCGUUUGCAUGUAGCUUAUGAAUAAGGAUCGGCUAACUCCGUGCCAGCAGCCGCGGUAAUACGGAGGAUCCGAGCGUUAUCCGGAUUUAUUGGGUUUAAAGGGAGCGUAGGCGGGCGCUUAAGUCAGCUGUGAAAGUUUGGGGCUCAACCUUAAAAUUGCAGUUGAUACUGGGUGCCUUGAGUGCAGUAUAGGCAGGCGGAAUUCGUGGUGUAGCGGUGAAAUGCUUAGAUAUCACGAAGAACUCCUAUUGCGAAGGCAGCUUGCUGGAGUGUAACUGACGCUGAUGCUCGAAAGUGUGGGUAUCAAACAGGA
This 425-nucleotide ribosomal RNA is filed under the name uncultured Prevotella sp. Its description in RNAcentral is "bacterial SSU rRNA". It matches the Rfam family "Bacterial small subunit ribosomal RNA", at positions 355 to 777 of the family's 1533-position model. Lineage: Bacteria; Pseudomonadati; Bacteroidota; Bacteroidia; Bacteroidales; Prevotellaceae. The record is from RNAcentral.